RNAcentral lists this unclassified non-coding RNA (572 nucleotides) under Hevea brasiliensis (rubber tree). Lineage: Eukaryota; Viridiplantae; Streptophyta; Magnoliopsida; Malpighiales; Euphorbiaceae. The record is from RNAcentral.
GCGUAGUAUAUUCUCUGCAGUAAUCUUCAUGAGAAUUUGAGGAAGCUUCCAUCCGAGUGUAUAUGCAUUAUUCUUUAGGGAGAAGUGCUAUUUCAAUUUCUUGAAGUGAUUUUCCUUUGGUUUCCACCACAUUCCUUUUCACAAAUGCAACUGCAAUCAAGCAGAAUGUAGCGAAACCAGAGUACAGAAGCUGUGGCCCCAUCUUCUCCAACAAUUGUAGGAAGAGCAAUCCAACGAAAAAAUUUAUCACCCAAUGGACCGACAUGCAGAUCGCCAUAGCCUUUGCUCUUAUCCGACUGGGGAAAAUUUCUGGUAAAAGAAGACCUGGAACCGGACCAGCUCCGAGAGCAAACAUUAAGACAAACAUCAAUGUGCCACCUACUGACAAGUAUAGAGCUCCGGAAUCUGAGGAAUGUUCACUUCCAGCAACUACUUGGAGCGCCAUUGCCACAGCCAUCCCAGAAAAGCUCCAUAGAAGAAGCAGCUUUCUUCCUAAUCGAUCCAUUAAAAGCAUCGCGAUUAUAGAUCCUGCUAAAUUUGAUAUUCCCACGCAGACAUUUGCAAGGUUUGAU